GAUCAGACGUUCAGGAAAGUGAUGAUCGGAGUUGCUGUCGGAGUUCUCGCAAAAUGUUUGUUUUUGUAGGAGUUCAUUUAACUCAUUCUGGAAAUUGCUGUAAUAAAGGUUCACCAUGAAACAGUCAAGAUCAACUUUAAAGUCUUCUGCAGAGGUGUGUGUGUGUUGUACUUCUUUUUUAGUGAGGACCACUUUGAGUUUUAGACCAAAAGAGUGAUGACAUUUUGUCUUCUGUCCUCAGCCUCUUAAAGGCCAGUUUGAGUUGUGACCUGGUGACAGGUUGAAGGUUUGAAUCAGGUAUUGUGUGUGGUUGCAGUUGUGGUGAAAGACAAAAGGUAAAAUUUUGGAGGUCGGGGCAGCACUUAACAGAUUCUUACCAAAUCUGAAUUGUAAAUGUAAAGCUGUAAAGACAAUUAUUAAGUGCUUUAGAUAAAAGAGUUAUAUUUACUUAAUAUAUAACUGCAGUCUAAUAACCACUUACUUUCUGCUUCCAACACAAAAUGCCUGUAUAUUACAUACAAUUAUACCAAUUAUAAAACACUUACAUCUGUCCAAACAGAGCGCAGAAUGUUUAAUUUGCCUCAUCUUAACAAUACUUAACUAGCAUACUUUAGCAAUUAAACUUUAACUUUUUCUUUUUUUUUUUUUUUUUUACAUUUUUUUCCCCUCAUACAUCAAACUUUAACUAGACAUCAAUCAUUAUUAUUAAUCAGUAAUCAAUCAAACUAAUAUAUCAAAAUGUCACUACUGAAUGUAAUUGAGGGUUUUCUAAUAUCGUGUGAUGGGAGUUGUUGAGAUUGUUUCAUUUAUUAGUUUAAUUUAUUAAUGAUCUUAACGGCCAUGAUCAAGAAAUUUUACCUCCUUAGUUCUAUAAAUGAUGUGUAGAUGGUACUGUCUUAUUGAGUACGAAUUAAAGCCUGCAUCACAGAAACACUUCGUACAUUGCAGCCAAAAACACCCAUAAUUCUCUGUGUACUAGUGGUACAAUAAAAGAAGGAGCACAAUACAAGAUAUAUUUGAUCACAGAGAUAAAAAAAAUAGAUGAAGAUCAACAGAGUCGGACUAGUCACAUGAAAUGUGAUGAAUAAUUUGAUUAAUAAUAAUAAUAAAUAAUUAUGUGAUGGCAAAGUAGGAUAAUGAAACAAUAAAAGCAACGUUCAGUGAUCCAAGUUAGAAAGGGAUCAACCUCUUUAAAGAGGGUUGAGACUUGUCUGCUGAAGUGUAAAGACCCUGACACACCAAGCUGACGGUCGGCCGUUAGUCAGUGUCAGGCUGUUAGUGAAAUUCUAGCGCCCUAGUCUUUGCAAUAUGUCCUGCACCGUUGGCUGUUGUCAGAUUCAGCAUGUUAAAACGGCUCUUAUUGUCAGUUCAGCUCAGUGCAUAAGAAGAGAAAUGGAAGUGAGGAAAGUAAACAAACAGCUAAAGUCAAGAGGAAGUGAGAUCAAAACAAACUUGUUACGUAACGUCAGAUUAUUUUUCGUUAGCCAUUGAACUCCUCAGCAGAAACAUUUCCUGAUGGUUUGUGUUUUUGUUCACCGGGGCACGGUAAAUAUCAUUUGUUCUUGUUCUCUGUUAUUAAUGAGCUAACCGGCUAACUAGCGUCUUGUAUUCAACCUGUCUGUCUUCCAGUUUCCCUUUUUAAAUUAAGUUUAUGGACUACCGCCGUCUACUGCUAUGGAGAAUUAUUUCCUCUCAUACAGGCUCAGAACGUUUGUGCUGGUUGGCUGUUGGUUGUAAUCUUGACGAUGUGCAAUCUUGACAUUCCCUAGUUUGGUGUGUCUGGUCCAUAAGGACAAAAACAUCACAGUCACUCUCUGUAAUCAGGUGAUAAUCAGGUGAUAAUCAGGUAACUUGAAACAACCAGGAGACUCCUUAUUGAGGAUUUUAGGAAGAGAUUAAAAUACCUGUAGUGUAACUUGUAGUUUGAACAUGAAGUGACCAAAACAUCAUCAACAGAAAAUAAUUUCCCCUCGGGGAUCAAUAAAGUAUUUCUGAGAAUCUUAAAUUAUCAAAGUGACAGGCAUCUAAUGAAGAAUGAAAGUUUGUUUGUGUUCUCCUUUAAUUAGUUGAAAUCCAAACAGCACCAUGUUUAAAAAAAUUGAAGACAAGUGACUUUUGACUGAUUCCUUAAUAAAGAGAACUGUGAUCGUCCAGACGAAAUGAGAUUAAACCAUUUCAUACUUAUUCGCCAUCUGUGGUUGUUUAAAAAAAACUAAAUGUUACUGAUGAUCCUCAGCUGAAGGAAACAGGAUGGCUCCUCCACAGUCACUUUUUAAUUCCCAGACAAAGUGUUGAAAUAACUGCUAGCAGGUGGUCAGUUAAUCACAGGGUCGGUGGUUCAAUCCCCGGCUCCUCCUGUCCACAUGUCCAAGUGUCCUUGAGCAAAACACUGAAGCCCAAAUUGCUCCUGAUGGUCAGACAGCAGCUUGCAUGGUAGCUGGCUGACAUCAGUGUGUGAAUGAGUGAGUGAGUGAAUGAAUGAAUGAGGAAGAUAUAAAGUGCUAUAUAAUGUAGUCCAUUGACCAAAUAUGAUCCUGCUGCUUGUAGUUGUUAAAGGUCCUAACUGAGCUCCACAUGGACAUUAACAGAAUCAUGAGACUUCACUGAACUAAAGCCUGCUGUCACGCUGUCAAAGAAAUGUGAAUAUUUUGGAGCUAAAGUGAAAUAUAAUGGGACUUAUUGUUUAUUUUGAUAUUGAUCAUUGGGACAAACAUGUACUGCUUCUUUUUAUUGGUUAAGGUGCUAAGCCAGAGUCUGUCAGCUACAGUUACACACUGAACUAUACACUCAGUGUCCACUUUAUUAGGUACACUGUUGUUGACUGUCAUAUUAGAAGCUCAUGCAUGUUUCUGUUGUUCUCUGAUGAUGCUCUUGCAGGUAUCAUGUAAUUUCAGGCAGAGCUUCAUCAUUUCUGUUCAAACGUUUGAAUAAAACAUGAAAAAUGUCAAA
Epinephelus lanceolatus (giant grouper) is the source of this 2949-nucleotide non-coding RNA. The record is from RefSeq and is a predicted model, not a curated record. NCBI's taxonomy places the organism in Eukaryota, Metazoa, Chordata, Actinopteri, Perciformes, Serranidae.